GGACUACAGGGGUAUCUAAUCCUGUUCGCUCCCCACGCUUUCGCUCCUCAGCGUCAGGUAAGGCCCAGAGAACCGCCUUCGCCACCGGUGUUCCUCCCGAUAUCUGCGCAUUUCACCGCUACACCGGGAAUUCCAUUCUCCCCUACCUACCUCUAGCCUGCCCGUAUCCACUGCCGACCCGGGGUUAAGCCCCGGGCUUUCACAGCGGACGCAACAGGCCGCCUACGAGCUCUUUACGCCCAAUAAUUCCGGACAACGCUCGCGCCCUACGUGUUACCGCGGCGGCUGGCAC
RNAcentral lists this ribosomal RNA (292 nucleotides) under uncultured bacterium. RNAcentral's name for it is "partial 16S ribosomal RNA". The record is from RNAcentral.